UGUAUUAUUCUUUAUCGAGGCUUCGCGUUUGUUCGCAGAUUUAUCAAAACUGGUAAUUCCAACGCGAUAUUGGAUAAGGUUUAUAAGAAUACUAAGUGAUUUUAUAUGCGAUACACGGCGCGUAUAUAAUGUCAAAUGUCAUAGACUUUCGCGUCCCGUUUGUUCCGAAAUUUUCGUUAUUCUUAUUGCGACUACUGAGCGAAAAAUUUAAGAUACUUAUCACUUUUCACAACGUUGAUGAUUGUUUUGCAAGAGUGAUGAUACGUCCUAGCUGACAGACUGCAGACAAUACAGGAUCCUGAGGGAACAUCGGUUGCCAACUCGAAUCACUAGAUGGAUACUUUGGAAGGAUGAAAUUAUUUUCAAUAAGUUUCAUCCUCACUAAUAAUUCCUUUCAAUCCUCUCCCUCAUAAUUAAAAGACACGGUCUGACUUGGUUUGUGCACUGUAACAUUUAUACUUCAGUCAAAUCAGUGUUAGUGCUGCAAUGUUUGACUUUAGAAUUGAAAUCUUUUUUUUCAUUCCUCCCCAAAGCCUCGUCUUGUAUUCAUUGUAUUUUUGGAUCAUAAGGUGACCGUCUAUUGUCCAUUUCUAACAUUAUUCUGUAUUCUGUUAAUUAUUAUUACAAUAAUUUCUUCAUUUUUCCAGACUGCGUGGCCUAGACAUUGCACGAAUACGGUUACCAUCCACCUGUGGAGCGGCGUUUUUAUCAAUGCUACAUUCUUCCUUGAAAAUAUAAAAAAAUAAAAGACACGAUUUUUUGUCUUUGAUUAUUCGAAGUUUGAAAAGUAGAAUCAAUUGUGUUUGGCUGACCAUCCAUGCGCGCGAAGUCUGGAAUCAAUUCAUAUUUUCAAUAAAGCAGUUUUGAGGUACUUUACUGAGCCGGAGGGGAUGACGUUGAGUUAUUUUCCAAAAUUGCAGCAGUGCCAUUGACUGUCUUGUCUUCGCCCGUUAGCAGCGUCACCUUUUCCUCGUAUUUACCUCGUAAAUCUUGAAAGAGGCGCA
Long non-coding RNA from Venturia canescens, 1004 nucleotides. RefSeq lists it as uncharacterized. The record is from RefSeq and is a predicted model, not a curated record. The transcript has 3 exons. NCBI's taxonomy places the organism in Eukaryota, Metazoa, Arthropoda, Insecta, Hymenoptera, Ichneumonidae.